UUAUAACGAAGCGUCGCUAUCUGGGAACCCGAAAUUAGUAUUACAGAUACAGAAUGACCAACACUGAAGGAUUUUAUUCAUCACAUCACAACUUACUAUUCCCUUCAUCCCUAUUUCUUACCUACUACAUCAAGAAAGCAAACCAAAGAAAGGGAAAGAAAGGGAAAGAAAGGGGACGUGGUAUGUGUGUGCAGAAUAGCUGCAACAGCAGCCUUCAAGCCACUCUUCCAUCCCUUUAACCAUGCCAAGGUACACAUAGGUGUCAAUCAACCACCCUAUGACAGCCAUCUCCUCAGUCACCCACCACCUCCACCAUCUUCGAUUCUUUAAGGCUACUAGCCAACACUCCUUGCCUUCAUUCUUUGUUCCUUCAGCCACUUACUAGCCAACACUCCUUGCCUUCAUUCUUUGUUCCUUCAGCCACCAAAGUGAGGAGAAUUCAUUAAGCUGCUGCUCUGCCAACUUGAAGAGUCCCCAUCGUCUGCAUUCAAUAUCAAUAACAACAGCCACCAACACCAAAUAUUUGCAGGUGAAUACUAAGCUCAGCUUAUUCAAAUCCAGUGCAUGCAUCCUACCAUCAAUCACAUGUUUGAAUAAAAAUACAGAGUAUACAGAUGAGUAUAUGCAUAAAGGGAUUUAGCAAUCACACGAAGUUAGUUUAUAUACAUGUUCUUCAUGAGACAAAUGCAUUAAGAACUCUUAUCAAACAGAUGCAAUCACAUGCCUAGUAUUGAUCUCUCGCAUUUAGUAAUAUAGGAGCCAAGAGAGUUGAGUUAUGAACUGCCAAAAAACUAGAAGUUCUUCACAUCAGAGUAUUACUGAACUUAGCAUUUAGGAGGGGAGGGAGGUUUAUUCAAGGUAUUUUGUUGUACUCCCUCCGUCUGCGAAUUAAAGCCCCAUUUGCCUCUAAAUAUUUGUCCGCGAAUUAAAGCCCCAUUUGCCUUUUUGUACCCUUUUACCCUCCUACUUUAUCUAAAAUAACUACCUUUUGCCAUUAAUUAUCCAUUCUCAUUUUUUAACCUACUUAAUUAUAGAUUUAAGUAUUCAUCCUUAAUUAAUGCAAAAUAAAUUUAUAUCUAUUAAUUUAGUCUUUCUCUCUCAAAUGGAAUUCUAGAGAAUUCCAAUUCAUUUCGCAGUCGCCUCUCUCUCUCUCUCUACCAAACCCUAGAGUGCGCCGCGUUCUUCUCUCUUUGCAUCGUCUCUCUCUUGUUCUUCCUAAAUCUACCAUUGUUGUGUUACUCCAUGGAUCAUCCCUUUGAAACCGAAUCGAUUGUGCCGGAAACCCCGGCCUCUGAUCUCUGUGAAUUGGCGCCGUGGUUGCUGGCUGAAACCGAGCCGCCGCACCUUCUUAUCUCUGAAUCGGAGAAAACGACGCCGGUAGCUGAAGCGGCGCCAUGGUUGCUGCCGGAUACUGAAGCGGCUCGUCUCCCUCUCUCUGAAUCGGAGCAGAUGUCGCCGGUAGCUGAAGCGGCGCCGUGGUUGCUGCCGGAUACUGAAGUGUCUCGCUUCCCUCUCUCUGAAUCGGAGCAGAUGUCGCCGGUAUCUGAAGCGGCGCCGUGGUUGCUGCCAGAAACUGAGCCGCCGCACCUCCCUCUCUCUGAAUCGGAGGAAUCUCUCUCUGAAUCACCGGACUAUGAUUCUGAUGGCUUCCAUCUCUCUGAACACAUCAGAGAGAGAGGGAAAAGACCGAUCGAAUUCAGUUUCGAAUUUAAAAAAUGAAUGAAACAUUUCUGCCUAUUAAAUUUGAAUUCAGUUUCAAAUUCCACAAAGUAAAAAUUAAUUAAUCAAUGAAACAUAAAAUUAAGACUUAAAUUGAAACAUAACAUUAAAUGAAAAGCUUAAAGUCAAUAAAGUAAAAGCAUUCUCUUAAGUAAAGAUUAGCAAAAAAGUAAACAACUACCCUUAUCUUUUCCUACAACACCUUUUUCAGCUUUCUUAAGCUCCGUGCCCAACUCCAAAUGGGGCUUUAAUUCGCGGAUGGAGGGAGUACCUGAUUUUUCAUUGAACGGGGACGGAUGCCGAUUUGAUGUCGACGCUAACCGCGAGGAAAAGGAGGGGGCUGACUGCCCUGCUCCCCUGGACUUCAAGAAGAGGGCGCAACGACCCUGUUCUGCCGCUCAUCGAAGGCUCAGAGAUAUAGGAGAGUACCCCUCGCCGGAGCCGUACAGUGCCCACGACUUUUGCCGAAGCCGAGGUGAGCCCCGGGCUCAACCCCGAGGAAGAGAAGGCGGAGGUCGUCGGGCUCAAAGAGGUUACUCCGCCUAAACCGAGAGGAAAAGAGAGGGAGGCUAGGGCUAACCGCGUCGGCAGGAGGUAGAGCUAGGGCUCAACGGAGAGGCGAUUUCCGGCCAAGGAAAGCGCGGCGGUGCUGUAAUGCUUAACAGCGGCGGCCUCGCCGGAACCGGAUGGGAGAAGUAGCAGAUUGAGUUUGAGAAGAGGAUUAGGGCUCCGUUUCGUUUCCAAUUGACAAUGUGUGUUUUCUGAAAUUUGGGGAUCGGGAGGAAAAGCACGAGAAAAGAGGACGGACGAAGGGCGUGACGGCAGGGAAGAUGAGGACGCCAAAUGGCCGUCGCCGGCGGCGCGGCUUUCAGAGGCGGCGACUUUCGAGAGAGAGAUCGCGAAACAGGGAGAGAAUGCGAGAAAGGAAUGGCGACAAUAGUUGAGAGAAGAAACGCCGGAUUUCAGAGUGGCGGAGGCGGCCGUUCGCCGGUGCUAAAAGAGUCAGCGGCGGCGACGAAUUUGGCAUGAAGAAGAGAGUGCUGAUCCUUUCAGUCGUUCCUGACUAAAAAAGAAGAGGUGGGCCUCUUGCUUGGGCUGAAUUUAUUCCUUAAGGUGGGCCGAAAUGUUGGGCUGGAUUUAAUUAGAAAAUGGCUUACUUAUUUCCUUAAAUGAGCCCAGGUUUGAGUAUUAAGUAGAGUGGACUGAUUAGAAUUUAUUAAAUUGGGCCUUUAUUAUUUCUCCUA
RNAcentral lists this long non-coding RNA (2963 nucleotides) under Salvia miltiorrhiza (redroot sage). RNAcentral describes it as "long non-coding RNA (SMIL_LNC006885)". Lineage: Eukaryota; Viridiplantae; Streptophyta; Magnoliopsida; Lamiales; Lamiaceae. The record is from RNAcentral.